Molecule: ribosomal RNA, 1515 nt
Filed under: Triticum aestivum (bread wheat)
Lineage: Eukaryota; Viridiplantae; Streptophyta; Magnoliopsida; Poales; Poaceae
Description: partial small subunit ribosomal RNA
Source: RNAcentral
AUGGACGGCACCGGUGGUGGUCGCGAGUAUGGCGGCAGGGUCACCGCGUUCGUGGCGCUCUCUUGCGUCACGGCGUCCAUGGGCGGCGUCAUCUACGGCUACGACAUCGGUGUUGCGGGCGGCGUGUCGUCCAUGGAGCCGUUCCUCAGGGAAUUCUUCCCGGACGUGUACCGCAGGAUGAAGGGCGACUCACGUGUCAGCAACUACUGCAAGUUCGACAGCCAGCUCCUCACGCUCUUCACCUCGUCGCUCUACAUCUCCGGGCUGUUCACGGCGGUGCUACUAUCGUCGUGGGUCACGGCCCGCUGCGGGCGCCGGCCCUCCAUGAUCGUUGGUGGCACGGCAUACCUCGCCGGCGCAGCAGUCAGUGGCGGGGCCGUGAACGUGUAUAUGGCCAUCCUCGGUAGGGCGCUGCUCGGUGUCGGGCUAGGAUUUGCCAACCAGGCAGUGCCACUCUACUUAUCUGAAAUGGCACCGACACGAUACAGGGGAGCCUUCAGCAAUGGCUUCCAGUUCAGCCUAUGUCUCGGAGAUCUCGCCUCGACCAUCACCAACUACGGUGUGGAGAAGAUCAAGGCAGGUUGGGGCUGGAGGCUCUCGCUGGCCUUGGCCGGUAUCCCUGCCGUGUUUCUCACCGUCGGCUCCAUCUUCCUGCCGGAGACACCCAACAGCCUCGUCCGACAAGGUAAAGACCAUUUAGUGGUCAAGGCAUUACUGCACAAGAUGAGAGGCUUUGAAGCCGUCGACCAAGAGCUAGAUGAUAUCAUCGCUGCUAACAUCCUAGCUACAAAGCCCGGCGACAACGGCAUGCACAUGAUCUUGUCACAGCGGCGGUACCGCCCACAGCUUGCCAUGGCCAUCCUGAUACCAUCCUUCUCACAGCUUACCGGAAUCAGUGCCAUUGGGUUCUACGCGCCGGUGCUGCUACGCAGUAUCGGCGUGGGUGAGAGUGCAUCCCUGAUGUCAACCAUCAUCCUCGUUUUUGUCUCCUCGGUGUCAACACUAGUAUCCAUGUUCACCGUCGAUCGCUUUGGUAGGCGGACCCUCCUUCUCAUCGGUGGCAUCCAGAUGAUCAUCUGUGAAGUCCUUAUCGGUGCUAUCAUGGUUGCAAAGCUUGGCGAUGAGGGUGGGAUCAGCAAGACGUAUGCUAUCAUCCUCAUUUUUCUCAUGGGUGUCUAUGUAGUGGGCUUCGGAUUGUCAUGGGGCCCGCUGGGCUGGCUAGUGCCCAGCGAGAUUUUCCCAUUGGAGAUCAGGUCAGCCGGGCAAAGCAUCACUGUGGCCUCGUGCUUUGCGUUCACCAUAUGCAUUUCACAGUUCUUCCUGGCCAUGCUAUGCCAGAUGAAGGCAUACUUGUUCUUUUUCUUUGCCGGAUGGAUCAUGGUGAUGACGGCUUUUGUCUACUUCUUCUUGCCCGAGACCAAGGGGCUGCCGAUUGAGCAAAUUGGCAAGGUGUGGGGGAAGCACUGGUUCUGGAAGAAGGUUCUGGGGGUUGGUGAGGUGACUGCAAGCUAUUGA